This 803-nucleotide ribosomal RNA is filed under the name uncultured bacterium. RNAcentral describes it as "bacterial SSU rRNA". It matches the Rfam family "Bacterial small subunit ribosomal RNA", at positions 8 to 796 of the family's 1533-position model. The record is from RNAcentral.
AGAGUUUGAUCAUGGCUCAGAACGAACGCUGGCGGCGGGCCUCAUACAUGCAAGUCGAGCGCGAAAGUCCGCAAGGAUGAGUAAAGCGGCGCACGGGUGAGUAACACGUGGAUAAUCUACCCUUUGGAUUGGAAUAACCUGUCGAAAGACGGGCUAAUGCCGAGUAAGCCUUCGAGAGCGUGAAGCUCUUGCAGGGAAAGAUGGCGCAAGCUAUCGCCGAUGGAUGAGUCUGCGUCCCAUUAGUUAGUUGGUGAGGUAACGGCUUACCAAGACAAUGAUGGGUACCUGGUCUGAGAGGAUGACCAGGCACACUGGAACUGAAACACGGUCCAGACUCCUACGGGAGGCAGCAGUAGGGAAUAUUGCGCAAUGGACGAAAGUCUGACGCAGCCACGCCGCGUGAGUGAGGAAGGCCUUCGGGUUGUAAAGCUCUGUCGCCUGGGAAAAACGGCUAUUGGGGGAAAGUUCCAGUAGCGUGAUGGUACCAGGAAAGGAAGCACCGGCAAACUCUGUGCCAGCAGCCGCGGUAAUACAGAGGGUGCAAGCGUUGUUCGGAAUUACUGGGCGUAAAGCGUGCGUAGUCGGUAUUGAGAGUCGCGGGUGAAAUCCCAGGGCUUAACCCUGGAACUGCCUGCGAGACCUCAGUACUAGAGUGUGAGAGGGGAUAGUGGAAUACCCAGUGUAGCGGUGAAAUGCGUAGAGAUUGGGUGGAACACCGGUGGCGAAGGCGGCUAUCUGGCUCACAACUGACGAUCAGGCACGAAAGCGUGGGGAGCAAACAGGAUUAGAUACCCUAGUAGUCC